UACGAAGGGGGCUAGCGUUGCCCGGAAUCACUGGGCGUAAAGGGUGCGUAGGCGGGUCUUUAAGUCAGGGGUGAAAUCCUGGAGCUCAACUCCAGAACUGCCUUUGAUACUGAGGAUCUUGAGUACGGGAGAGGUGAGUGGAACUGCGAGUGUAGAGGUGAAAUUCGUAGAUAUCAGGAAGAACACCCGUGGCUAAGGCGGCUCUCUAGUACGGUACUGACGCUGAGACGCGAAAGCGUGGGGAGCGAACAGG
RNAcentral lists this ribosomal RNA (253 nucleotides) under uncultured bacterium. Its description in RNAcentral is "partial 16S ribosomal RNA". It matches the Rfam family "Bacterial small subunit ribosomal RNA", at positions 524 to 776 of the family's 1533-position model. The record is from RNAcentral.